AUUUAUCUAAUAUAAAAAGUAUAUUUGACUUCCAAUCAAAAGGUUUGAUCUUACAAGAUAAAUA
This 64-nucleotide transfer RNA is filed under the name Stolotermes victoriensis. Its description in RNAcentral is "tRNA-Gly". Lineage: Eukaryota; Metazoa; Arthropoda; Insecta; Blattodea; Termopsidae. The record is from RNAcentral.